AUGGCGGCCUCAUGGCUCCUCAAACAUCCUUGUCCACCAGAAAGGCCAUGGACAAGCACAAGGAAUGCUACGGGUCUCCAGCUGAUCACCAUCACUUACCGGCGAACCACGUGCACCGGCCGGAGCGCCGCCGUUGCGGUUAAGCACCAGGAGGAGGGCACCGACGACGAGUGGCUGGCGUACCUGGAGCCGGCCAAGCUAGAGGUGUUCGACCAGCUAGAGCCGUGGGCGGAAGCGAACGUGGUACCGCUCCUUAAGCCCGCCGAGGUGGCGUGGCAGCCGACGGACCUGCUGCCGGAUCCGGCGUCGCUCGGCGCCGACGGCUUCCACGCGGCGUGCUGCGACAUCCGGGAGCGCGCGGCCGGCCUGCCCGACGCGCACCUCGUGUGCCUCGUGGGCAACAUGGUGACGGAGGAGGCGCUGCCGAGUUACCAGAGCAUGGCGAACCGCUUCGAGGCCGUGCACGACCUCACCGGCUCCAGCGGCACCGCCUGGGCGCGCUGGACACGCGGCUGGUCCGCCGAGGAGAACCGCCACGGCGACGUGCUCAACAGGUACCUCUACCUCUCCGGCCGCGUCGACAUGCGGCAGGUCGAGAGGACCAUCCACAACCUCAUCCGGUCCGGCAUGGUCCUGAACGCCGCGCGGAGCCCCUACCAUGGAUUCAUCUACGUCGCCUUCCAGGAGCGCGCCACCUUCAUCUCCCACGGCAACACCGCGCGGCGCGCCAAGGAGCACGGUGACGUGGCGCUCGCCCGCAUAUGCGGCGCCAUCGCCGCCGACGAGAAGCGGCACGAGCUGGCCUACACACGCAUCGUGGCGAAGCUGUUCGAGAUCGACCCCGACGGCGCCGUUCGCGCGCUAGCCUACAUGAUGCGUCGUCGGAUCGUCAUGCCGGCGUCCCUCAUGACCGACGGCCGCGACGAUGACCUCUUCGCGCACUAUGGAGCUGUGGCGCAGCAGGCCGGCAUUUACACGGCCUCCGACUACCGUGGCAUUUUGGAGCACCUGAUAAAGCAGUGGGGAGUGGAGGAGCUGGUGGCCGCCGGGCUCUCCGACGAGGGGAGGCGUGCGCGGGACUACGUGUGCGCGCUGCCACAAAAAAUCCGAAGGUUGGAGGAGAAGGCCCACGAACGGAGACGCCACAAGGCCCAGCCCACGACACCCAUCCCAUUUAGCUGGAUCUAUGACAGGCCCGUCAACAUCACCGUCGCCUAG
Molecule: ribosomal RNA, 1218 nt
Filed under: Triticum aestivum (bread wheat)
Lineage: Eukaryota; Viridiplantae; Streptophyta; Magnoliopsida; Poales; Poaceae
Description: partial small subunit ribosomal RNA
Source: RNAcentral